This is a non-coding RNA of Hydractinia symbiolongicarpus, 73 nucleotides long. Lineage: Eukaryota; Metazoa; Cnidaria; Hydrozoa; Anthoathecata; Hydractiniidae. The record is from the annotation of a RefSeq genome assembly.
GGUUCCGUAGUGUAGUGGUUAUCACGUUCGCUUUACACGCGAAAGGUCCCCGGUUCGAGCCCGGGCGGAACCA